Acanthosepion pharaonis is the source of this 114-nucleotide non-coding RNA. Lineage: Eukaryota; Metazoa; Mollusca; Cephalopoda; Sepiida; Sepiidae. The record is from the annotation of a GenBank genome assembly.
UUACGGCCACAUCACAUUUAAACACCAGUUUCCAUAUGAUCACCAAAGUUAAGCAACAUUGAGCCUGGUCAGUACUUAGAUGGGUGAUUGCUUAGGCAUACCAGGUGGUGUAAG